RNAcentral lists this ribosomal RNA (551 nucleotides) under uncultured bacterium. RNAcentral's name for it is "partial 16S ribosomal RNA". It matches the Rfam family "Bacterial small subunit ribosomal RNA", at positions 355 to 897 of the family's 1533-position model. The record is from RNAcentral.
UAGGGAAUCUUCCACAAUGGACGCAAGUCUGAUGGAGCAACGCCGCGUGAGUGAAGAAGGUUUUCGGACCGUAAAGCUCUGUUGUUGGUGAAGAAGGAUAGAGGUAGUAACUGGCCUUUAUUUGACGGUAAUCAACCAGAAAGUCACGGCUAACUACGUGCCAGCAGCCGCGGUAAUACGUAGGUGGCAAGCGUUGUCCGGAUUUAUUGGGCGUAAAGCGAGCGCAGGCGGAAGAAUAAGUCUGAUGUGAAAGCCCUCGGCUUAACCGAGGAAUUGCAUCGGAAACUGUUUUCUUGAGUGCAGAAGGGGAGAGUAGAACUCCAUGUGUAGCGGUGGAAUGCGUAGAUAUAUGGAAGAAUACCAGUGGCGAAGGCGGCUCUCUGGUCUGCAACUGACGCUGAGGCUCGAAAGCAUGGGUAGCGAACAGGAUUAGAUACCCUGGUAGUCCAUGCCGUAAACGAUGAGUGCUAAGUGUUGGGAGGCUUCCGCCUCUCAGUGCUGCAGCUAACGCAUUAAGCACUCCGCCUGGGGGAGUACGACCGCAAGGUUGA